GAUGAACGCUGGCGGCGUGCCUAAUACAUGCAAGUCGAGCGAACAGACGAGGAGCUUGCUCCUCUGACGUUAGCGGCGGACGGGUGAGUAACACGUGGAUAACCUACCUAUAAGACUGGGAUAACUUCGGGAAACCGGAGCUAAUACCGGAUAAUAUAUUGAACCGCAUGGUUCAAUAGUGAAAGACGGUUUUGCUGUCACUUAUAGAUGGAUCCGCGCCGCAUUAGCUAGUUGGUAAGGUAACGGCUUACCAAGGCGACGAUGCGUAGCCGACCUGAGAGGGUGAUCGGCCACACUGGAACUGAGAACCGGUCCCGACUCCUACGGGAGGCAGCAGUAGGGAAUCUUCCGCAAUGGGCGAAAGCCUGACGGAGCAACGCCGCGUUAGUGAUGAAGGUCUUCGGAUCGUAAAACUCUGUUAUUAGGGAAGAACAAAUGUGUAAGUAACUAUGCACGUCUUGACGGUACCUAAUCAGAAAGCCACGGCUAACUACGUG
Molecule: ribosomal RNA, 497 nt
Filed under: uncultured bacterium
Lineage: Bacteria
Description: partial 16S ribosomal RNA
Rfam family: Bacterial small subunit ribosomal RNA
Source: RNAcentral